RNAcentral lists this ribosomal RNA (253 nucleotides) under uncultured Placynthium. RNAcentral describes it as "partial 18S ribosomal RNA". It matches the Rfam family "Eukaryotic small subunit ribosomal RNA", at positions 336 to 588 of the family's 1831-position model. Lineage: Eukaryota; Fungi; Ascomycota; Lecanoromycetes; Peltigerales; Placynthiaceae. The record is from RNAcentral.
UUGGCCUACCAUGGUUUCAACGGGUAACGGGGAAUUAGGGUUUGAUUCCGGAGAGGGAGCCUGAGAAACGGCUACCACAUCCAAGGAAGGCAGCCGGCGCGCAAAUUACCCAAUCCCGACCCGGGGAGGUAGGGACAAUAAAUACUGAUACAGGGCUUUUUUGGGUCUUGUAAUUGGAAUGAGUACAAUUUAAAUCCCUUAACGAGGAACAAUUGGAGGGCAAGUUUGGUGCCAGCAGCCGCGGUAAUUCCAG